Pteropus vampyrus (large flying fox) is the source of this 119-nucleotide ribosomal RNA. The record is from Ensembl. NCBI's taxonomy places the organism in Eukaryota, Metazoa, Chordata, Mammalia, Chiroptera, Pteropodidae.
GUCUGUGGCCAUGCCCCCCUGAACUCGCCCCAUCCCGUCUGGUCUCAGAAGCAAAGCAGGGUCGGGCCUGGUUAGUACCUGGAUGGGAGACCGCCUGGGAAUACCGGGCUCUGUGGGUG